RNAcentral lists this ribosomal RNA (460 nucleotides) under uncultured bacterium. RNAcentral describes it as "partial 16S ribosomal RNA". It matches the Rfam family "Bacterial small subunit ribosomal RNA", at positions 338 to 795 of the family's 1533-position model. The record is from RNAcentral.
CCUACGGGGUGCAGCAGUGAGGAAUAUUGGUCAAUGGACGAGAGUCUGAACCAGCCAAGUAGCGUGAAGGAUGACUGCCCUAUGGGGUGUAAACUUCUUUUAUAAAGGAAUAAAACGAGGCACGUGUGCCUUUUUGCAUGUACUUUAUGACUAAGGCCUGGCUAAAUCCGUGCCAGCAGCCGCGGGAAUACGGAGUAGCCGUGCGUUAUACGGAUUUAUUGGGUUUAAAGGAGGCGUAGAUGGAUUGUUAAGUCAGUUGUGAAAGUUUGGGGCUCAACCGUAAAAUUGCAAUUGAUACUGGCAGUCUUGAGUACAGUUGAGGUAGGCGGAAUUCGUGGUGUAGCGGUGAAAUGCUUAGAUAUCACGAAGAACCCCGAUUGCGAAGGCAGCUUACUAAACUGUGACUGACAUUGAUGCUCGAAAGUGUGGGUAUCAAACAGGAUUAGAUACCCGAGUAGUC